RNAcentral lists this ribosomal RNA (370 nucleotides) under uncultured eukaryote. RNAcentral describes it as "partial 18S ribosomal RNA". It matches the Rfam family "Eukaryotic small subunit ribosomal RNA", at positions 592 to 976 of the family's 1831-position model. The record is from RNAcentral.
CAACAGCGUAUAUUAAAGUUGUUGCAGUUAAAAAGCUCGUAGUUGGAUUUCUGGUCGGAAGCUCCUGUCCUCUGAUGAGCGUACAAGUGCGUCCUACCAUCCUUCUGUUAACCUUUAAGGCUUUCGCGGCUUUCUAGGGGCUCAGAUAUUUUACCUUGAGAAAAUUAGAGUGUUUCAGGCAGGCUAGCGCCGGAAUACAUUAGCAUGGAAUAAUGGAAUAGGACUUUUGCCUCUUCUGUUGGUCAUGAGGCUCGAGUAAUGAUUAAUAGGGAUAGUUGGGGGCAUUAGUACUUAACUGUCAGAGGUGAAAUUCUCGGAUUUGUUAAAGACUAACUUAUGCGAAAGCAUUUGCCAAGGAUGUUUUCAUUAA